Molecule: ribosomal RNA, 253 nt
Filed under: uncultured bacterium
Lineage: Bacteria
Also listed under: 1 other name
Description: partial 16S ribosomal RNA
Rfam family: Archaeal small subunit ribosomal RNA
Source: RNAcentral
UACCAGCACCCCGAGUGGUCGGGACGAUUAUUGGGCCUAAAGCAUCCGUAGCCGGUUCUACAAGUCUUCCGUUAAAUCCACCUGCUCAACAGUUGGGCUGCGGAGGAUACUAUAGAGCUAGGAGGCGGGAGAGGCAAGCGGUACUUAGUGGGUAGGGGUAAAAUCCGUUGAUCCAUUGAAGACCACCAGUGGCGAAGGCGGCUUGCCAGAACGCACUCGACGGUGAGGGAUGAAAGCUGGGGGAGCAAACCGG